This 116-nucleotide ribosomal RNA is filed under the name Veronica anagallis-aquatica var. nilotica. RNAcentral describes it as "partial 5.8S ribosomal RNA". It matches the Rfam family "5.8S ribosomal RNA", at positions 45 to 154 of the family's 154-position model. Rfam says of the family: 5.8S ribosomal RNA (5.8S rRNA) is a component of the large subunit of the eukaryotic ribosome. It is transcribed by RNA polymerase I as part of the 45S precursor that also contains 18S and 28S rRNA. Lineage: Eukaryota; Viridiplantae; Streptophyta; Magnoliopsida; Lamiales; Plantaginaceae. The record is from RNAcentral.
GUAGCGAAAUGCGAUACUUGGUGUGAAUUGCAGAAUCCCGUGAACCAUCGAGUCUUUGAACGCAAGUUGCGCCCGAAGCCUUCUGGCCGAGGGCACGUCUGCCUGGGCGUCACGCA